UGAAACCGAUGCAUCUGUCGCUAUUUUCCUAAAAGCUUAUGCACAAAGUCAGUAACUUACAAUACUUGAACGUCCAGGGCAUUAAAGUGCUCGUCCUAAGCGCGUCCUGAUUUUUACAAAAGUGCGAAAGAUGCGGUGGAGGCGAGAGCACUGGCUAAACCCUCUCGCAGUGUCCGGAUUGGUGCCCGAAGAAUAUUUUGCAGCAGCAGGCAAUGUUCAGGAUCCCUC
RNAcentral lists this long non-coding RNA (228 nucleotides) under Volvox carteri. RNAcentral's name for it is "long non-coding RNA (VCAR_LNC002256)". The record is from RNAcentral. Lineage: Eukaryota; Viridiplantae; Chlorophyta; Chlorophyceae; Chlamydomonadales; Volvocaceae.